Molecule: ribosomal RNA, 479 nt
Filed under: uncultured bacterium
Lineage: Bacteria
Description: partial 16S ribosomal RNA
Rfam family: Bacterial small subunit ribosomal RNA
Source: RNAcentral
UGGGGAAUUUUGGACAAUGGGCGCAAGCCUGAUCCAGCCAUGCCGCGUGCGGGAAGAAGGCCUUCGGGUUGUAAACCGCUUUUGUCAGGGAAGAAAUCUUCUGAGUUAAUACCCCGGGAGGAUGACGGUACCUGAAGAAUAAGCACCGGCUAACUACGUGCCAGCAGCCGCGGUAAUACGUAGGGUGCAAGCGUUAAUCGGAAUUACUGGGCGUAAAGCGUGCGCAGGCGGUUUUGUAAGACAGAGGUGAAAUCCCCGGGCUCAACCUGGGAACUGCCUUUGUGACUGCAAGGCUUGAGUGCGGCAGAGGGGGGAUGGAAUUCCGCGUGUAGGCAGUGAAAUGCGUAGAUAUGCGGAGGAACACCGAUGGCGAAGGCAAUCCCCUGGGCUGCACUGACGCUCAUGCACGAAAGCGUGGGGAGCAAACAGGAUUAGAUACCCCUGGUAGUCCACGCCCUAAACGAUGUCAACUGGUUGUU